Molecule: long non-coding RNA, 539 nt
Filed under: Capra hircus (goat)
Lineage: Eukaryota; Metazoa; Chordata; Mammalia; Artiodactyla; Bovidae
Description: lncRNA (ENSCHIG00000002295.1)
Source: RNAcentral
AAGGACUUUGACUUCUCAGGGAGAAGGAAUGUAUGCCUGCUGCCUCCAAUGCUUCCACGACAACCCUGAUGUGGCCAGCACUGAUCUCAUCUGACACCUGAAGACGUGGGGGCCCUGGGAGAUUUCUGGCCCCAGGUCACAAAGUUAGGAAAAGUCAUAACUGGUACCCAAACUGAGGUCCAAUAAUCUCAAAGCUGGAGAGCCCAGAGGAGAGAAGUUUGCGGGUGAUCUUCUUGUUCCCCUGAAAUCCACUCAAAUAGGCAGUUCUUCUGUUUGUGAAUCCAGAAAUGCAAGGUUCUUGUUCCAAGUUGGUUGUCGUCUGCCCCCAGCUCAGCCUCUGCCUGGGUCAGUGCCAAGUAAACAGCAUGGGUCUGGCCAGCUGAGAAGAUGCCACAGUGGUUGCAGGAAGGUGUCCUGUGUCACACCUGUCUUCUGAGGUAGGUGACAUUGGGGUGGCAAGGUAAGGGCAUUGAUGUUCUGCAGACACCUGCAGGAGGCUGGAAAGGAAGACCUGAGCUAGCACACUGCUUGCUGAUCAC